Molecule: ribosomal RNA, 814 nt
Filed under: Helix pomatia (Roman snail)
Lineage: Eukaryota; Metazoa; Mollusca; Gastropoda; Stylommatophora; Helicidae
Description: partial 16S ribosomal RNA
Source: RNAcentral
ACUAACAAGGAAAAAAUAAAUGUGUUAUCACGAAGGAAUGUGAGCUAAACGCACAUAUGGUCUAUUUGCAUGCGUCGCAUAGCACGUAAUAAAUGUACGUUUAGGGGUGAUAGGCUUUUCAAACGUUCCUAUAACUUGUUUCAUAUGAAAAGUAUUAAGUACCUAAACAAAUUUAAAAAGUUAAGCUUUUAAAUAACUAUUAAAGAUAUUAUCCCCUUGUAGUGUAGUUUAAUAGCUAUCUACAUAAUAACUUAAUAUAAAGUAUAAUAGUUUAUAUUUUAUAAUAUGACGUUAACAAUUUUGUUUAAUAUUUGAAAAUGUUAGUAUUAGUAAUAUUAGUAUAUGUGCUAAAGGAACUCGGCAAAAAACCACUCAACUGUUUAUCAAAAACAUAGCUAUAUGAAUUAAUAUAUAGUUAUUUCUGCUCAAUGAUUUAAAUAGCCGCAGUACUCUGACUGUGCAAAGGUAGCAUAAUCAGUUGGCUUUUAAUUAGAGUCUGGUAUGAACGAAAAUAUGGGUAGUAACUGUCUUAGCACAUUUUUCGAACUUAUUAAACAAGUGCAAAUGCUUGUAAUUUAACAAUAGACGAGAAGACCCUAGAAACUUGGACAAGUUUUUGUUGGGGCGACAGAAUUACACUUAACUAAUCUUAUAAUACACGACGCGAUGUUGAAAGAAUAAGUUACUCUAGGGAUAACAGCAUAAUUUCAUUAGUUUGUGACCUCGAUGUUGGACUAGGUACUAUACCCUUAAGGCAAGGAUAUAUUAUGCUCUGUUCGAGCAAAAUUACCUACAUGAUCUGAGUUCAGACCGG